This 277-nucleotide ribosomal RNA is filed under the name uncultured bacterium. Its description in RNAcentral is "partial 16S ribosomal RNA". It matches the Rfam family "Bacterial small subunit ribosomal RNA", at positions 524 to 796 of the family's 1533-position model. The record is from RNAcentral.
UACGAAGGGGGCUAGCGUUGCUCGGAAUUACUGGGCGUAAAGCGCACGUAGGCGGUCUUUUAAGUCGGGGGUGAAAUCCUGGAGCUCAACUCCAGAACUGCCUUCGAUACUGGAAGACUUGAGUCCGGGAGAGGUGAGUGGAACUGCGAGUGUAGAGGUGAAAUUCGUAGAUAUUCGCAAGAACACCAGUGGCGAAGGCGGCUCACUGGCCCGGUACUGACGCUGAGGUGCGGAAAGCGUGGGGAGCAAACAGGGAUUAAGAAACCUAGUAACGUCC